This 447-nucleotide ribosomal RNA is filed under the name uncultured bacterium. RNAcentral describes it as "partial 16S ribosomal RNA". It matches the Rfam family "Bacterial small subunit ribosomal RNA", at positions 329 to 793 of the family's 1533-position model. The record is from RNAcentral.
GGCCAGACUCCUACGGGAGGCAGCAGUGGGGAAUAUUGCACAAUGGGGGAAACCCUGAUGCAGCGACGCCGCGUGAGUGAAGAAGUAUUUCGGUAUGUAAAGCUCUAUCAGCAGGAAAGAAAAUGACGGUACCUGACUAAGAAGCCCCGGCUAACUACGUGCCAGCAGCCGCGGUAAUACGUAGGGGGCAAGCGUUAUCCGGAUUUACUGGGUGUAAAGGGAGCGUAGACGGUGAAGCAAGUCUGAAGUGAAAGGCGGGGGCUCAACCCCCGGACUGCUUUGGAAACUGUUUGACUGGAGUGCAGGAGAGGUAAGUGGAAUUCCUAGUGUAGCGGUGAAAUGCGUAGAUAUUAGGAGGAACACCAGUGGCGAAGGCGGCUUACUGGACUGUAACUGACGUUGAGGCCCGAAAGCGUGGGGAGCAAACAGGAUUAGAUACCCUUGUAA